RNAcentral lists this long non-coding RNA (27212 nucleotides) under Eucalyptus grandis. RNAcentral describes it as "long non-coding RNA (EGRA_LNC006677)". Lineage: Eukaryota; Viridiplantae; Streptophyta; Magnoliopsida; Myrtales; Myrtaceae. The record is from RNAcentral.
CUCCAUCUCCCUUGAGCUUUCAUUUCUCUCACAGAGAGAGAGAGAAAGAGAGAGAGAGGGAAUCAUUCUACAAUCUGUCAUAUUCCUCCUAAAGCUUGAGAGAUCAGAUCUCGCAAAGCCCACCGACGACGAGAGCAAUGGCUGAAAAGGUGCAUAUUACCUUCCUCAUCCUUCCAAUUUAUGAAGACUCUUUCUCUCUGACUGACAGAAAGAUUAUUGUAACCCACAAAUGAUCAGCUCUUUUGCAUUCUUGCAUAAAAAAAUAGAUUUCUCAUUCUUCUGGUGGCCGAAAGAGCCGUGCUUUCCUCUGCUUUUAGCUUCGUUUUGUUUGCAGAGCACAGAAGAUCUUUGCUUGUGUUGUUCACUCACUCUCUCUGUGUUUGUGCGUAUGUGUGUGUGACUGUGAGUGUAGAAAGGUAGUAAUGGUCAUGAAGGUUGACCUGGGGUGCGAUCGCUGCUACAGAAGAUCAGAAAGUGAUCUGCAANNNNNNNNNNNNNNNNNNNNNNNNNNNNNNNNNNNNNNNNNNNNNNNNNNNNNNNNNNNNNNNNNNNNNNNNNNNNNNNNNNNNNNNNNNNNNNNNNNNNNNNNNNNNNNNNNNNNNNNNNNNNNNNNNNNNNNNNNNNNNNNNNAAAGUCAUAACGAACUAACGACUGUAUGUCUGGAUUUCUAAUCCCAGGCUGUCAUUAUUUCGUAAACGGUGAUUCUGUUUCUUCCAAAAUUGAAAGUCUCCCACGCAUUGUUCCUAUUCUAAUUAUGUAUUUAGGAUGAGGACCUUAUUGAAUUAGAAUCUGUAAGUAGUAUUAUGUGAUGUAAACUUUAGUACCAAAAUUUAGCUGUAGAAAGGAAACUAAGUUAAUUUAUCGGUGUUAUUGUUUUGGGAACGACAGAAAUCCGAGACCAAAGGUACGAUGAUAAGCAGAACAAGGUGCUAAUCAGUGUGGUAAGCUGUUGUCCUGAGAGAAUCCUUGAGAAAAUAGCCAGCAAAGGCGGAAAAACAGUGGAGAGCAUCGAGAUAAUGACCGAGAAGAAAGAUGGCGAGAAGAAAGAUGGCGAGAAGAAAGAUGGUGAGAAGAAACAAGGUGAGAAGAAAGAAGGCGAGAAGAAGAAGGAUGGAGAUAAAAAAGAGGGCGAGAAGAAGAAGGAUGGGGAUAAAAAAGAGGGCGAAAAGAAGAAGGACGCCCCAGCUGCAGAAAAACCAAAAGACAGUGAGAAAAAGAAAGACGGAGGAGACAAGCCUAAAGGAGACGGUGACAAGAAGGAACCGCAAGUUCAGAAGUAUAUGAUCGAGCCUGCUUCGGGAUAUCCCACGAUUUAUCCAGGCGGAAUGUACUACCAGCCGCCUCAGCCGUAUUACCAAGGAUACGGUGCCAUGCCAUACGGUGCCAUGCCAUACUCUCACGGGGUGCCGGCUUAUUACGGUGAGAGCAGUUAUGGUGUGAAUAGGGGCUAUAACACGAACCACCCGGACUACUUCAGUGAAGAGAACCCUGAGUCGUGCACAGUCAUGUGAUUGGAUCACGAAUGGGUUAGCGUUGCAUGUACAUGUUAACUUGCUAAAGGUUUUAUAUUUUAUCAGUUGUGCUUGGUUGGUGGAUCUGUCAAAUUUGGUGGAUAUUUGUUUUUGAUCAUUUGAGACAGUAAAGGAACAGUAAGGUUUGGUGAGAAGGUCGAUGAUUCUAUGAUUCUGUUUGCAGAAAUAGGAUCAGUAGGUGGUUUGGUAUUUUAAACAGAUUAAACUACCAGUUACCAGUUGUUGAGGUUUUAAUCAAUGAGGACAGCUGAUUCAAAUCAAGUCCGUUUUAAUGGCUAUGAUAGUGCUGUUCAGAUAGAUCUAGGAACUUCAAAAAAAUAUAUCAAUUGACUUUAAAAAAAAGUAUCAAUGGACAAAACAUUUCAGUUGGCAAACUGCAGAAUUUGUUACACGCAUCGUGUUAGUGACUUCUGUCAUGUAAAAGUGAGGCUGCAACAGAUCGACAAUGAAACUCAACGACUUUGUGAAGCUGAUGUCGCAGACCAUCCGACUCCUUGUAUCUAGCAUUUGCUGCUAGAUGCAGUGAUUCAGGCAGGGAGACAUGAGUUCCACAUUUUGGUUUAUUUUUUGCCAAUGAUUUUCUAGAUAGGGGUGAAGCCAACAGAAAAAACUCAGCAUUAUCAGCAAGUAAUGGCAGGGCGUAUUAGUGAUGCAAGACAAAGUAUGUAAGUACAAUCCUCCAAGCAGCCAAACCCCCUAAUUUCGGGACUGAAUUAAAUCAGAGGUUGUCAAAGCUCCAGAGUGAUGACAUCGAGAUUCUGGAACCUUUCUAAGAUUGUGGUAACAUCUUCCCAGCUGAUCUUUCCCAUUUCCUCUAGCUUGUCUGCAACAAACUCUGCAGCGCUGCAAAAAGAAAGCGCCAGCAAGAAACUCAGACACUUGCUCAGAUUAGUUUAUUUGCAUAAGUGAAUUUGUAGCAGAUGAUUAAAAUUCACCUGACAACUUUGUCAUCAUCAAGAUCAGCAGCCUCUAAAUCGAAGAAUGUAAGAUUUCGUGUGAGAACCCAUUUUGUGAACGAUCUUUGCCUACUUUCUGUGCACAGUUCAGCAAGGUAGAAGAAAAACCGACCCACGCAAAUGGUACUAGCCAGUAUCCAAAACACGGCAAAGAUUCUGCCACUGGUGGUCGAGAAACUUUGAUCUCCAUAGCCCAGAGUAGUAAUAGUAGCACAAACACAAUAGAAAGCAUCAACAAAUUUAAAUUUCUCGGUGACCAACAUAUACACGGUUCCAAGUACAGUGAGGACCACGACAUGAACGAGGGAAAUGAGGAAAUUGUAUCUGAUUUUGUAGGUUUCGACCUCCUUCAGGAUUUCAGCCAGACCAACCAUGUCAUUGAUAUGCGUAGCUCUUACUAGAAGAACUUGCUGCUUUUCAAGAAUGUAAUCGGCUGCUUUGCCCAGUAUCAGCCCACCAAGAGCCAUUCCUGUGAAAACAUAUGUUGAGGCUAGAAGUUUUGCCAAUGUGCUACUUGGGACGAGAUCUCCAUAUCCCACAGUAGUCAUGGUAACAACGCAAAAGUAAAGGGCAUCAAGUAGACCAUUCAUCUUCUUGCCCGAGAUUUGGUUCCUCAGGAGAAAGAAACAAAAACUUCCUACACCAAGGUAUGCAGCCAAGACUAUUAGGAUUUUUUAUUAGUGUGGGUUCUUUUGUAGACUUGAGAAGACAAGGUUCAGGGCCAUUCUGCUCGGGGAAAUUAUCCGCUGAAGGAGAAUUUCGGCAGUGUCUUCUUCUUUGGACUGCAUUGUUCUUGUCCUCGGGAUGAUUCGAAGCGUCAACUGAAUUUCCAAUCAAGGAUUCUCUGGUAUCAUCAUAGGCCAUAUCAAAUGCUGCAGAUUUGUCCUCAUUAAGCAGCCUGCAUUUUUGGAGCAUUCAGCAAUCAGUCAAGGGACAUUCCAUGAAUUUUCUGUCGUCUUGUUUAUCAUCCAGUAGUGUGUGUUCAAACUUCCCCAUGAGCUCAAGUUCUUCAUACCAUAAUCUAAUGUCCAGUCACUCUAUGUGAUGCAGAGUGGAAGGUGAAAAUUUCGCAGCAUUCACUCCCCAAUAACCGUAAACUGGCCAGAAACUAGUCUCAGGCUUGUACACUGAUGAUAGAGAGAUUUUGUUUCCCUUUAGACAUUGCUUUAUACAUAUAUAAAGACCAAGGACAAUUCCAAUCAAUGUUGACCAAUACGUACUAGCGGACACGAUAUUGCAGAUGAAACACAGCCGGGCAUGUAAAUGAAUGGAUUAAACAAUGCCAAGAGGGCCUGGACUAAACAAAACUUCAUCCUCUAACUCGAAUGGCAAGAUUAGGAGGACACGAAUGGAUCUACUCUUUGAAGGGAGACACCAAAUAUGCAAUCACACAUGAAAAGAGAUUCAUGAUCUUUUAAGAAACUGAUUAAUCUGCAACCCAUCCCAGAAAGGUCAGAUGAUCAUGAGGAGACUCCAAAAAACAAGAAACAUGACAUGCAUGUCUACUUCUUGGAGCCGAAAAUGAGACAGUGAGCUUUGUCUAAUUUACCUGACAAAGCGAGUCUAUGGAAGAGAGAAUGGCUUCACAAAAAGAUUCGCAUUGCCCCCCAUCAGAAACAGGACCGCAAGGUUCAAACUAUCCCAAAGAGGAAGCUGAGGACUUACACCCGCUGUUUCCACGCACCCCAUUAUUGAACUGCGUUCCCGCAUUAGUGCACACGUGAAAAAGCAUCCUCUAAGGCGCAUCUUGGAGGAGAUGAAUUCCUUGAUGUCGAACUGAAAAUUCCAUUACCAAGUGAAGAAAAGAACCUGCCUUUGAAUUGUGAAUCCGAAAAUGGUAAUAUUGGGCCCAAGUGCAAGUCCCGAACAUUGUCUCAUUCGGCCUCUGUUGGCUGAAGAGGGCCCAACUGAAUUUCACGGGAUUGCAUUUUCUUUCUUCUUUUUCUUUCCCCGGAAACGAAAGCAAAUUCUCUAACCCUAUCUAUUUUCUUCGACGCGGAACUUGAUGAUAUUAAACUGAAAACUCCACUGUAUCGUAAUUCGAAACUCUUGAUUUGGAGGGUGAGAAGAAGUUGAGUGAGAUGAGCAAGUGGACGCAUAGAGGGAGAGGCUCUCAUGGUGGUCGAAGUGAUAAAGGGGUGGGAAGUGAAGAAGUACAAAGGGUAAGCUAGCUGCUUUCAAAGGUGCUUGUUUUCCCGAUUUUCCUUAACAUUCAAUCAAAGAUGUAAAAAUUUCUAGUUUGAUUUAGGUGAGACUUUUAUUAUCAUACUACUAUCGAGUCAAUUUUCGGGACAUGACCAUUGGCAAGUGCAUAAAAUGUAUGUUUUGGAGUGACGUGAUUGUCCAAUAUGGACUCUUAGAUGAUCACAUAAAAAUUGUUAAGGUCCUAUUGUUUAUCGGAUUCCUAUGUAGUUUACAGGGUGCUUGAAUAACAUCACUUCUAGCUAGGUAACCAUGAUUUCCCAAUUCCCCCACACUAAAAUGGUUUUCCAUUGUGUCAACCAUGGCAAAUUGAUCAAAUUGGUAGUCGAGAAGGUCAUGGAAAGGUUGAAAUCAAAGGAUAGAUUAGUGACUAAACAUAUAGCUGGAAUUUGGGAGAAGUUGUCCAAAAAGUCUCUAAUCUAUUGUACUUUUGUCAAUUCAAUCUUCAAUAUUUUAAUCUUGCAAUUGAGUCACAAACAUUUUUCACUUCUUACUAAUUCAGUCCUAAACCUUCUCACUUUCUACUAAUUGAGUUUAUUCAAUUAAUUUUGGUUAGAAAUUAUUAAUGUGGACUAUUGGUGCUAAAGUGGCACUUUUUAAUAGAAUUUUGAUUUUUUUUAUUUUUUUCUUUGUUUUUUAAGGUUUGGAUCUAGGGCCAGCCAGGUUUGCCAGCCAACCCUCGCCAGCCACAAACGAGGGUCAGCAACCUACACCAGCCACAUGCGAGGGCCGGUUGACCCUCGCCGACUUUGAGUAAGGACCACCAAACCCUAACCAAAAAAAAAAAAAAAAAGAAGGGUGAAAGCGAAGGCGUGCGAGCCCUCACCUAGAAAAGAAGAGGGCCGCAACGCCCUCGCCAGAUAUGGCCAAGUGAGGACUUGGUGCCAACCCCACGAGAGGGCGGCAACCUCGCUUGGGGCCCUCGCCUAGCUAGAUCUAGUGAGGGUAUCAUGGCCCUCGACAUUUCUAGGCAAUGGUUCGCGUGCCCUCACUUUUGGCGAAAAGGGUCACUAGCCCUAGAUCCAAACCGCCCCCCCCCCCCCCAAAAAAAAGCAAAAUAAAGUAAAAAAUAAUAAAAUAUUCAAAAUAUCAUUAAAAAGGUGUUACAUUAGCACCAAUCAUCCACAUUAUCAAUUUUCUAGCUAAAAUUGGCCAAAUGGACUUAAUUGGCAAUCGGUAAAAAAGUUUAGAACUAAAUUGACAAAAUUAAUAUAUUUAGGACUGAUAGGUUUAUGAUUUUUUGGAUAAUUUCCCCUAAAAUUUGUAAUUAAGUUGUAGCAAUAAGCGAAUUGAUAGAUGUCAACUCUGGUGGCAUGCAACGUGUGGCUCAUUCAAAUUCAUGGCACGGGGUGUAUCAACAAGAUGACUUUUGCCAAGGUCGUCUUUAAUCAACUCUCCUCAUUAUGAAAAAGUGUUGUUGUUUCUUUGAACAUGUUCAAGCGAAAUUGUCAAGAGCUGAUGGCUUAGUUGAGAUGCAAAAAAAGUUAUUAUCCAAAAUCGGCGUUCAUGCAAGAACAAGGAGCAUUGAGAAAAUUGAUUAUUGAAUGAAGAGAAUUGGAGAAGCAUUUUGUAAUAAGACAGUCCUCAUUGUACUCGACGAUAUUGAUAACGGCGAGCAAGUAGAAAAAUUAAAUAGAAAGAGCACUUUGUAUUCAGGAUCUAGAAUAUUGAUUACAACUAAAAUAAAUAAAUGUUUUGCGCAUCAAUAGUAUAAAGUAUCAAAUUUUAAAUUAUGCAAUGGAGGUGAGGAGUACUUGUCAUGCACUUGAACUUUUCAAGAGGCACAUGUUUAACAUGGACUCUCCUACAAAUGAUUACAAUGAUCUUUCAGAAAAAUGGUACUUGCUAGUGGGAGACUUUUAUUGGCUCUUGAAAUAACUCGCUCAUUCCUCUACCACAAGACACAAACUAUGGAAAGAGACAUUGGCCAAGUUAAGAAAAGCACCAAACGAAAUGUUUUUCAAAAGUUGAAGAUUAGCUAUGGUUCCUUAACUUUCAGGCAACAACAAAUUUUGCUUGAUAUUGCUUGCUUUUCCGUUGGUGAGGAUAAGACGAAAGCAAUUUUUAUGUGGGAAGAAUGUAAGUUUUCCUCUAAUACUAGAAUUGAUGUCCUCAUUAGUAUGUCUUUGUGAAAUAUUGAGGAGAAUAAUUGAUUUUGGAUGCAUGAUAAAAUCAGAUAUCUUAAAAGGAAUAUUGCUGGGCAGGAAAAUUUAAUGAAUCUGGAAGAGCGAAGUAGGAUACGAUAAUACAACGGAGCAAGCACUUCUAUUUAUUGGCUGUUAUUAACCGACUUUCCCAUCUCUCCAGGCAAUUCCAAUACAAAUAUCUCUGACAUUAAUUAUUACACUAAAACUUGCUUUGAUGAAGAAAGGACUAAAUUAUUCCGGAAUUUUCUAGGCCAAGAGAGAAAGAUCUGGAGAAUGGAGAGAAAGCAGCGGUGCUCUCUUCAACAUUGAAUUCUACACAUUUCUUGCUCUCAUUUGCAGAUGAAGAGAAAUGUUCAAGAAUUAAAGUUUAAUUUACGCAAAAGUUAUCCAAAGGACGCUAUUGAAACUACAGAACAUAAUCAAGACGGAUUUGUUGGAGUCAUCCUCCUCCAACAUCUAAGCCAAUGGAUUUGUUGAAUUUAUAUACAAUGACUUCACGGAUGAUUUGAAACUACAUAACAUAAUCAAUUCCAGUUGCAUGAUGGCUAUAAUCAUGCUGUUCAGAUAGAUUUAAGAACUAAAAAUCAUCAAUGGACAAAACAUUUCAGUUGGCAAACUGCAAACUUUGUUACACACACCUUAAUAGCGAAUUCUUACACGUAAAAGUGAGGCUGCAACAAAUCAACGAUGAAAUUUAACAAUUUUGUGAAGUUGACAUUACAAACCAUCUAACUAAUAGUACUUCGCAAAUUAUAGCAUGACAAUCUAGCAUCUACUGCUAGAUGCAACUAUAAGAGUUUUCCUAAUGUAGAUUACAUUAAUUAAUAUUGUAAUUACCAUUUACGAGGUUGGUUUAAGGUGACAUAGAAUGUUUCUUAAUUUAGUUAAUAUAGGGCUAGCUAGUAUGAGUCGAGUUAAACCUGGCCCAUAAUAAAAGAGCUUGGUUGAAACUCUAUAAAUAAUGAUCAACUCUCUCAUCUAACUCUAAUUCUCACAAUUAUCCUCCUCACAAAAAGAGUGUUUACCUAAUGUUAAAUGAUGAGGGACUGUCUCAUUGAGCUAGUAAUAUAGAGAGCAAUAGAGGAUAAGUUCUUGAAUUUGGACCGUCAUUAUUCUGCAUCAAGAAUGGUGGUCCAAAUCUGAUGUGUAAAUCUAUUUACAUGAUUAUAUAUGUGUUAUUGUUUCUAGUUAUAGAGAUCUUGGGUUUCGCUUUCGCAUCUUACAGCAACAAUUCAGGCAUUGAUACAUGUGUUCCACAUUUUGGGGAGACAUUCACUAAUGGUUGAAGCCAACAUUAUCAGCAAGUAACGGCGGCGCAUAUGAGUAAUACAGGACUAAUGUAAGUAUAACCCUUCGAAACAAGCAGCAAAACCCCCCUAAUUUCCGGCCUGAACUAAAUCAGAUGCUGUCAAAGCUCCAGAGUGAUCGACAUCAAGAUUCCGGAACCUUUCCAAGAUAGCCGUAACAUCUUCCUGGCUGAUCUUUCCCAUUUCCUGUAUCUUGUAUACGACAAACUCUGCAGCGCUGCAAAAAGAAAGCACCAGCAAGAAACUCAGAUAUUUGCUCAAAUUAGUUUAUUUGCAUAAUUGAAUUUGCAGAUGAUUAAAAUUUGCCUGAUAACUUUGUAAUGAUCAAGAUCUGCUGCCUCUAAAUCCGACCUCGUAAUAUUUCGUGUCAGAACCCAUUUUAUGAAUGAUCGUUGCCUGCUUUCUGUGUACAGUUCAGCAAGGUAGAAAAAAAACCGAACCACACAAAUGGUACUAGCCAGUAUCCAAAACACGGCAAAGAUUCUGCCACCGGUGGUCAGGAAACUUUUAUCUCCAUAGCCGAGAGUACUAAUAGUCACGCAAACACAAUAGAAAGCAUCGACAAAUUUUAAUUUCUCGAUGACCGACAAAAACACGAUUCCAAGUAUAGUAAGGACCACGACAAGAACGAGGGAAGUGAGAAAAUUAUAUCUGAUUUUGUGGGAUUCGACCUCCUUCACGAUUUCGGCCUGACCAACCCUUUCAUUGAUGUGCAUAGCUCUUACUAAAAGAACUUGCUGCUUUUCAAGAAUGUAAUCGGCCGCUUUGCCUAGGAUCAGCCCAUUAAGAGCCAUUCCUGCGAAAACAUAUGUCGAGGCUAGAAGUUUUGCCAAUGUGCUACUUGGGACGAGAUCUCCAUAUCCCACAGUAGUCAUGGUAACAACACAAAAGUAAAGGGCAUCGAGUAGACUAUUCGUCUUCUUGCCCGAGAUUUGGUUCCCCAGGAGAAAGAAACAAAAGCUUCCCAAACCAAGGAUUGCAGCCAAAAUUAUGAAGAUUUUAAAAAAUGUGGGUCCUUUAGUAGCCUCGGGAAGAUGAGGUUCGGUGCCAUUCAGCUCAGGGAAACUAUCCACUGAAGGCAAAUUGCGGCGGUGUCUUCUUCUUUGAACUGCAUUGCUAUUGUCCUUGGGAUGAUUCGAAGCGUAAACUGAAUUCCCAAUCCAGGAUUCUCUGGUAUCAUCAUUGGCCAUAUCCAAUGGUGCAGAUUCGUCCUCUUUUAAGCAGCCUGCAUUUUUCGAGCAUUCAACAAUCAGUCAAGGACAUUCCAUGAAUUUUCUGUUGUCUUGUUUACCGUCCGGUUGUGUUCAAACUUUGCCAUGAGCUCAAGUUCCCAGUACCAUUCACUCCCAAAUAACCUUAAACUGGCGAUUCUCUUUGAUUAUGAAACAAAUCUCACGCUUGUACGUUGUGAUAAUAGAGAGACUUUGUUUCCCUCUAGACGUUGCUUUUCUUUUUUUUAUCAAGACCAAGGACAAUUUCAAUCAAUGUUGACCAAUACCUACUAGCGUAGCCAAUAUUGCAGAUGAAACACAGCCAAGCAUGUAAAUGCCUGGAUUAAACAAUGCCAAAAAAGCCUGGACUAAACGAAAAUUCAUCCACUCAUGAAUGGAUCUCUACUUUGAAGCGAGACACCAACCAGGCAGUUACACAAAAGAAGAGAUCGAUGAUCUUUUUAAACACUGAUUGAUCUUGCAACACAUCCCUGAAAGGUCAGAUGAUCACAAGGAAAACAAGAAAACACGACAUGCAUGUCUAAGUCUUGGAGCUGAAAAUGAAACAGUUGGCCUUGUCUAAUUUACCUGACAAAGCGAGCUCAUGGAAGAGAAAAUAGUUUCUCAAAAGAUUUGCAUUGCACCUAUCAGAGAAGGACCGCAAGCUCCAAACUUUCCCAAAGAAAAAAGCUGAGGAGCUACGCCCGUUGUCUCCACGCACCCCAUUAUUGAACUGUGUUCCCGCAUUAGUGCACCUGUGAAAAGCAUCCUCCUAGGAGCAUCUUGGAGGAGAAUGAAUUCCUUGAUGCGGGACUGAAAAUUCCAUUACCAAAUGAUGUAAAGAACCUGCCUUUGAACAGCGAAUCUGAAAAUGGCAAUUUGGGCCCAAGUGCGAGUCCCGAACAUUGUCUCAUUCGGCCUUUCUUGGCUGGAAAGGGCCCAACUGAAUUUUGCAGGUUUGCGUUUUCUUUCUUUUUUUCUUUCCCAAAAAACAAACUCCUCGUCCUAAGGUUUUUUUUGUCUAAUACUAAUGUGGAAAUGUUUAAUUGAUAAGGCUAUGAGGCCUAAAAAAAUUCGAACUCAAGAUUCCUAACUUUGAUAUCAUAUAAAAUUUUGUGAGAUCACUUUUAAUUGUGUUAAAAGUAUAAGUUGUUUAAUGAAUACGUGAUAUAUUAUUAAAAUAUUUUAACAUAAUUGAAUGAGUAUAAAGAACAAGCUAGCUACUUUCAAAGAUGCUUGUUUUUCCAAUAUUCCUUUAACACUUAAUCAUAGAUGUAAAAAUUUCAAGUCUGAUUGAGAUGGAACUUUUAUUAUAGUAAAGUAAAUGAUGAAUGGACGCUAUGUUUAUCAAAAACUGUAAGGAGGGAAUAAUGAUAUUGAUAGCUAUGGAGCUUCACUGAUAGUGAUUGUGGGCAGUGGGAGAAAAAGGAAUGAGUUAAUGAAGUGUGAUGCAAAUUCUCAUCUGAUCAUUUAAUCUUUCAAUACUCUAGACAUUUCUCCACUUGAAAACUCCAUGUUAACUUUAAUAGCCGUGACUCGAACAUAUGUACAUCUACGUUAUUCAUAUAAUCCCAAGAUCACUAAUCUCACAUUGGAAUCUAAGUAAAAUUCCGGGACAUGACCAUUGCUGAGCACAAAACUAAUGUUUUGUAGCGACGUGAUUGUCCAAUAUGGACUCUUAGACGAUCACAUGUAAAUUGUUAAGGUUCUAUUGUUUAUCCGAUUGCAAUGGAGUUCAUGUUAUGCUUGAAUAACAUCACUUCUAGCUAGGUAAUCAUGUCUAGCUAGGCAAUCAUGAUUUCCAUUCCCCCCCCCCCCCCCCCAAAAAAAAUUAAAAUGGUUUUUCAUUGUGUCAACCAUGGAGAACUAAUCAAAUUGGUAGUCGAAAAUGUCAUGGAAAGGUUGAAAUCAAAGAAUAGAUUGGUGGAUGAACAUAUAGUUGGAAUUUAUCAUCAAGCUAUAGCAAUAAACGAAUUAUUAGAUGUCGACUCUUGCGUGUUCGGCUCAUUCAAAUUCAUGACAUGAGGGUAUCGGUGAGACAACUCUUGCCAAGAUUGUCUUUAAUCAACUCUCUUCUCAUUGAAGCAUAAUUGUCAAGAACUGAUGACCUAGUUGAGUUGCAAAAAAAGUUAUUAUCUGAAAUUGGCAUUCAUGCAAGAACAAGAAGCAUUAGUGAAAUUGGUUAUGGAAUAAAAUGUAUUGGAGAAGUCCCGUGUAAUAAGAAAAUCCUCAUUGUAUUUGAUGACGUUGAUAACAACAAUCAAGAGAAAUUAGGCGGAAAGAGUACUUUGUAUUUAGGAUCUAGAAUAUUGAUUACAAUUAGAAAUAAAGAUGUUUUUUUUUUUUUUUGGUAAGGUUAGAAAUAAAGAUGUUUUGUGCAUCAAUAACCUAAAGUAUCAAAUUUUAAAUUAUGCAAUGGAGGUGAUAAGUACUAAUCAUGCGCUUGAGCUUUUCAAGAGGCGUGCAUUUAACAUAGACUCUUCUACAAAAGAUUAUAAAGAUCUUUCAAGAAAAGUCAUAUUUAAUACAGGAGAAUUCCAUUUGGCCAUGAAGUAACUAGUUUGUUCCUCUCCCACAAAACACGAACUUUGAAAAGAGAAAUUGGACAAGUUAAGAAAAGCACCACACGAAAUGUUUUUCAAAAGUUGAAGAUUAGCUAUGAUGUCUUAAUUUUCAGGUAACAACAAAUUUUGCUCAAUAUUGCAUACUUUUUCGUUGGUGAGGAUAAGAUAAAAGCAAUUUACAUGUGUGAAGAUUGUAACUGUGAAGAUUGUAACUUAUCCCCCAAUAUUGAAAUUGAUGUCCUCAUUAGCAUAUCUUUAAUAAAGAUUGGGGGAGAACAAUCGGUUUUGAUGUAUAAUCAAAUUAGAGAUCUUGCAAGGAAAUUGAUCAUCAGGAAAAUUCAAUGAAUCUCAAGGGAGGAGUAAGAUAUGGAAAUACAGGAGAGCAAGCACUCCCAUUUAUGGAGUGUAAUUGACCGACUUUCCCAUCUCCAAUACAAAUAUCUCUAACAGUAAUUAUUACGCUACAACUUGCUUGGAUGAAGAGAGGACUAAAUUAUUCCAGAAUUAUCUAGGCCAAAAGAGACAGAUCUGGAGAAUGGAGAGAGAGCGAGCAUCAACAUUACAUUCUACUCAUUUCUUGCUCUCAUUUGCAGAUGAAGAUAAAUGUUCAAGCAAUCUUAAGGACGCUAUUGAAACCGAAGAGAUUGGAAGGUUGGAAUAUCUUAGGCACCUCAAAUUAAAUGAAGGAACCUUCAUCAAUAACUUAGCGAAUCAUCUUACCGAAUUAAGAUGGAUUUUUGGAGUCAUCCUUCUCCAACAUCUAAGCCAACCGAUAUGCACUUAAAGAAUGUGGUCAUUCAUGAAUUUAUAUACAAUGACUUCAUAGAUGAUUCGAAACUACAGAACAUACUCAAGUCCGUUUGCAUGAUGGCUAUGAUUGUGCUGUUCAGAUAGAUUUAGGAACUUAAAAUCAUCGAUGGACAAAACAUGGACAAAACAUUUCAGUUGGCAAACUGCAAACUUAGUUACACGCACCUUGGUAGCGAAUGCUGUCAUAUAAAAGUGAGACUCCAACAGAUCCACGAUGAAAUUCAACAAUUUUGUGAAGCUGAUGUCGCAGACCAUCUGACUAAUGGUACUUGGCAAAUUGCAGCAUGACGAUCUAGCAUCUAGCAUCUGCUGCUAGAUGCAACGAUUCGGGCAGGGAUACAUGACUUCCACAUUUUGCACAUUUUGGAAUUACUUUUUGCAAGUUAUUUUAUAGAUAGGAGAGACAUUCACUCAUGGUUGAAGCCAACAGAAAGAACUUCAGCAAUAUCAGCAAGUAACAGCGGUGCGUAUGAGUAAUACCAGACUAAAGUAUGUAAGUAUAAUCCUCGGAAACAAGCAGCAAAACCUCCCCUAACUUCGGGCCUGAACUAAAUCAGACGUUGUCAAAGUUCCAGAAUGAUCGACGUCAAGAUUCCGGAACCUUUCCAAGAUAGCCGUAACAUCUUCCCGGCUGAUCUUUCCCAUUUCCUGUAUCUUGUAUACGACGAACUCCGCAGCACUGCAAAAAGAAAGCGCCAGCAAGGAACUCAGACAUUUGCUCAAAUUAGUUAUUUGCAUAAUUGAAUUUGUAGUAGAUGAUUAAAAUUUACCUGACAACACUGUCACGAUCAAGAUCUGCUGCCUCUAAAUCCGACCUCGUAAUAUUUCGUGUGAGAACCCAUUUUACGAAUGAUCUUUGCCUGCUUUCUGUGUACAUUUCAGCAAGGUAGAAAAAAAACUGAGCCACACAAAUGGUACUGGCCAGUAUCCAAAACACGGCGAAGAUUCUGCCACCGGUGGUCGAGAAACUUUCAUCUCCAUAGCCUAGAGUAGUAAUAGUGGCGCAAACACAAUAGAAAGCAUCAACAAAUUUAAAGUUCUCGACGACCGACAAAAACACGGUUCCAAGUACAGUAAGGACCACGAGAAGAACCAGGGAAGUGAGAAAUCUAUAUUUGAUUUUGUGGGCUUCCAUCUCCUUCAGGAUUUCGGCUGGACCAACCUUUUCAUUCAGGUGCAUAGCUCUUACUAAAAUAACUUCCUGCUUUUCAAGAAUGUAAUCAGCCGCUUUGCUUAGGAUCAGCCCGCCAAGAGCCAUUCCUGCGAAAACAUAUGUUGAGGCGAGAAGUUUUGCCAAUGUGCUACUUGGGACGAGAUCUCCAUAUCCCACAGUAGUCAUGGUGACGACGCAAAAGUAAAGGGCAUCAAGUAGACCAUUCGUCUUCUUGCCCGUGAUUUGGUUCCCCAGAAGAAAGAAGCAAAAGCUUCCCAGGCCGAGGUAUGCAGCCAAAACUAUUAGGAUUUUUCUAAAUGUGGGUUCUUUUGUAGACUCGUGAAGAUGAGGUUCCGUGCCAUUCUGCUCGGGGAAAUUAUCCGCUGAAGGAGAAUUUCGGUGGUGUCUUCUUCUCUGGACUGCAUUGCUCUUGUCCUUGGGAUGAUUCGAAGCAUCAACUGAAUUCCCAAUCAGGGAUUCUCUGGUAUCAUCAUAGGCCAUAUCAAAUGCUGUAGAUUCGUCCUCUUUAAGCAGCCUGCAUUCUUGGAGCAUUCAGCAAUCGGUCCGGUAUUGCGUGUGUUCAAACUUCACCCAUUCCAUGAUCUAAUGUCUGGACAUUCUCUGUGAUGCAGAGUGAAAGGCGAAUAUUUCCCAGCUUUCACUCCCAAAAAUCCUUAAACUGGUGAUCCUCUUUGACCUCAUGAAACAGAUCUCAGGCUUAUAAACUGUGAUAACAGAGAGACGUUGUUUCCCUUUAGACAUUGCCUUUUUUAUCAAGACCAAGGACAAUUUCAAUCAACGUGGACCAAUACGUACUAGCAUAGACAAUAUUGCAGAUGAAACACGGCUAAGCAUGUAAAUGAAUGGAUUUAAGUAAUGCCAAUAAGGCCUGACCUAAACACAAAUCAUCUAUUCAUAAAUGGAUCUCUACUUUGACAGGAGAAACCAAAUAUGCAAUCACAUAUAAGAAGAGAUUCGCGAUCUUUUUAAACACCAUUUAAUCUGCAACACAUCCAGAAAAGGUCAAUGAGGGAGGCUCAAAAAAGAUGCACAUAAAACAAGAAAACAUGGGAGAUUCAUGGCAAAGCCUUAUGUGCAUGCCCUCUUGGAGCUGACAAACGGUUUUAUCCAAUUCACCUGAGAGAAAGCGAGCUCAUAAAAGAGAGAAUGGCUUCCCAAAAGAUUGCAUGGCCCCCUUCAAGCAAUGCAAAAGGACCGCAAGAUCCAAACUUUCCGAGAGAGGAAGAUAAAGGGUUACGCCCGUUGUUGUGUCCACGCACCCAUUAUUGAACUGCGGUCCGGCAUUAAUGCACACGUGAAAUUCGGUGAAGGGAAGCGUCCUUUCAGGCACGUCUUGGGAGGAGACGAAGAAUCCCUUGAUGUGGAAUUGAAAAAUUCAACUACAGAAUGACGAAAAGAUCCUGCCUUUCGACCUGCGAAAUCUGAAAGAUGGCAAUUUGGGCCCAAGGGCUCCAUCGGCCUUUCUUGGCUGCAAAGGGCCCAACUGCAUUUCACGGGUUGGUCUUUCCUUUCUCCUUUUUUUCCCGGAAAACGAAAGAAAAUCCGCUGAUCAAGUUGGGAACCUUGGAGAGAGAAGAAGAGAGGAGAAAAUGAGGCUGGUGAAGAAGCAAGCAGCAGACAGAGCAGCUAAGUUUCACUUCUACAUCUAAUUCUCUAGUUUUAUUAUCUCUUAGCAUAUCCCGUUUGUGCAAAUAUCAAUUUCACUGCUCAAAAGAGAGCAGCCAUUUUCAGGUUAGCUUGAAGUCCUUUUUCCCUUACAGGUUGUGCUACAGCUUAGUUUGUUGUUCUAAGGAAAAGGAUUGAAAAAAAGAACUGAUCUUGACAACGUUAUACCAUCACACCGUUGCUUGUAGCUUUCGACAACUUCAACAUCUGCUUCUUGGAUCACUUGGGUAUUGAUAUUUCUGUAUUGAGAACUGGGUAGUGCUAGUAUUUGAUAGUUUUGUAUUGUGACAUCAUUGUCAUCGAAGAACAUAUGGAUACAGCGGCAGCAAUGCCCUUGUGGGGAUUGGAAAUGCUUCGUUGCGUAUGAAGGCGAUAAUGAAGAGGCCACGGUUGCUUCCCAGUUGGCGAAAGCAAAAGCAGGGUCGGCCGAGGCUAUAGUAGUCCCGUAUGUGGGGAUGGUGUUCAAGAGCGAUGACGAUGCGUUCAAGUACUACGGCAACUUUGCGAGGAAGAAUGGUUUCUCCGUUAGGAAAGAGCACUCGAGAUUGAACCCUCAGUUGUGUAUAUACAAGCACGACUUUGUUUGUUAUCGGUCCGGGUUCGCGCCUGUGAGGAAGAAGCCUAGUGGGGAGCACCAUAGGGAUCGGAAAUCUGUCCGGUACAGCUGUAAUGCGAAGAUGUACUUGUCGAAGGAGGUUGUGGAAGGUGUUUCCAAGUGGUGUGUUGUGCAAUUCAGUAAUGUUCACAAUCAUGAGCUGCUGGAAGACAACCAGGUCCGUCUCUUGCCUGCUUACAGAAAGAUUCAUGCAGCUGAUCAAGAGCGGAUUCUUUCGCUAUCUAAAGCUGGUUUUCCAAUUCAUCGCAUCGUGAAGGUCUUGGAAUUAUAAAAGGGGAUUCAAGGUGGACAAUUGCCAUUCUUGGAGAGGGAUGUUAGGAACUUUAUUCAGAACAAGAAGAAAGUUGUUCAAGAAAAUGAUGCUUUGCUCAAUGAGAAGAGAGAAAACGAUAUAAUGGAACUUCUUGAGGCCUGCAAGGCCUCGAAGCAGGCAGAUGAAGGCUUUAGCUAUGUUUAUAGCGUGGAUGACAAUGACAAACUUGAGCACAUCACUUGGUCAUACAGCAAUUCAGUUAAUGCAUAUACCACGUUCGGUGAUGUGGUGCAUUUUGACACGUCAUACCGAUCAAGCACUUAUGGUAUGUUGUUUGGGGCAUGGUUUGGCAUUGACAGCAAUGGCAGAAUGAUCAUUUUUGGAUGUGUUCUGUUGCAGGAUGAGGCGCCACAAUCAUUUGCUUGGGCUUUACAGGUUUAUCUCUCUGUCCCUCUAGAUAGAUCCAUAUCUUGUACUCUACAUUUCCUCAUGAUAAUGUUUCUCUCCCUGGAUACAGAUGUUUGUCUGGUUUAUGAGAGGAAGAAGUCCUCAAACAAUCUUAACUGAUCUAGACCCAGGCCUCAGAGAUGCAGUAAGGGGCAAACUAGCAAACACCAAACACAUCACUUGUACAUGGAAUAUUUCGCCCAAGUUAUCAAGUUGGUUCUCUGUUCCACUUGGAUCUCAAUAUGCAGAAUUCAGAUCUGAGUUUGAUGCGUUGCAUUAUGUAGAGAAUACAGAAGAUUUUGAAUUAAGAUGGAAUGAAAUGGUUUCUCUGUUUGGACUGGGUUCAGAUAAACGCAUUGCUUUACUUUAUUCAAUUCGGAAUUCUUGGGCAUUGUGCUAUACGAGGGGUCACUUUCUUGCUCGAAGGACAACUGUUGCAUUUUUUAGAUCUGUAGAUUCAUUCCUGAAAGGAAUCUUCAGCCCAAAUGCAUGCUUGCGUAGUUUUUUUGACCAGGUAUAGCAGUUGAAGGUUUUGUCCACUCUGUGACCUUAUAUUCCAUUUGAUUUCCUUUUCUUCCCCCAUCUUAACGUAGAGGUUUUUUUUUUUUUUUUUUUUUUUUUUUUUUUUUUUUUUUUUUUUUUUCAGGUAGGAAUAUCGGCUACUUUCAAAAACCAGUCACACCUUGAAAUGCAGUAUAUGCCUUCCAAAGCGUGCAUUCCAAUGGAAGAGCAUGCACGAAGCAUUCUAACACCUUUUGGAUUCAAUGCUUUGCAAAAUGAACUUGUGCUGGCCAUGCAAUAUGCCAUGUCUGAAUUGGCCGAUGGUUCCUACCUUUUACACCAUUAUAAGAAGAUGGAUGGCGACUGUCUUGUCAUGUGGAUACCAGAAGAAGAGCAAAUUCACUGCUCAUGUAAGGAAUUUGAAUCUUCAGGGAUUUUAUGCAGACAUGCCCUUUCUGUUUUUAUUAGAAAGAAUUACUUUCAACUUCCCAGUAAAUACUUCAUUACUAGAUGGCUCCGAGAAAGCUCUAGAACAUGUUAUGAUGAACCUGCUCCUCAAGAUAGCGACAAUGAGUGGUUUCGAGAAUAUCAGUCCCUCAGUGCGUCACUGUUCACAGAAUCAUCGCUUACAAGGGGGUGUACCAAUUAUGUCCGCAGGGAAUUAAUGAAAGAAGUCAAAAGGAUCCUUGAAGAAGUUAGGAGCAUGCCAGAGACCGAUGGUGUCGCAGUGGAUAUGACUCUUUCUCCAACUGGAUGAUAUCUCUGAUGGUGCUUGUGUCACUUGCAAGUGCCUGAGCUUCUUGCAUUUUUCACAUUAAGUAUUGAGCAGAUGAUUGAAAAUGGUCUGAAAUUUGGAGUGAAGUGAACAUAUAUUACUCUGUUCUGUGGUCAAGAGCAUCAGUGGGAGUGGACUGUGCAUGCAGGGACUUGAUAUAGAAUUCAUCAUUUUGCAGUCGCCCAUUGGUGGCUCCAAGUGAAUCACUCUUGAAGCUGAAGAUAAAGAACCGAGGAUGUGGACAUAGGCACAAGGUACUCUUUGUACAACUUGUAUGCAAAUUACUGAAAUAGAAUAGCUGCAUUUCACCAAUAUAGAUGAAUUUCUUAAUGAAAAAGCUUAAUUCUUCUUUGUCUUUCCAUUUUUAUGGCAGCAAAUUUUGAUUGCGUAUCUUUUGGCUUUGCAGUCAAUCUUAUGACAUGCAGGGAAGACAUGAAAUAUUUUCAUGACAUCUCUUGUAUAUGGAUUGUUUCAAAUGGAUGGUAUAAUAUCUUUCUCCUUUUUUCAGGUGAAUGGAAGUGUGAAUGUUUAACUUGCAUUAGCUUCUGUUCUUCAUUGUUAAGGCUGGGAGACUUCAAUCUUCUCCUGAUUCCAAACGCUGGACACAAGUAAAACUCGCAAAGGUACACCCAGAAGUACACACACGAAGCGCACCAGAAAUAAAAUCUCGAUAAUUUAUUAAUUCAAAGAUAUAAGCUGUUUACAAUAAAAGCAGGGACCAAUGUAAAUUGCUUAACAGUCAAACGUUGAGCACUUGUUUGAUAUAUAUUAUUGGUUGAUUUGACUGCAUGAUUUUAAUCAUGUUGUUCCUUUUCCGAGACUGACUUUAAGUUUUUUUUUCAGGAACCCGGUUUUCAUUGGCCUUAUAGGCCUAAAAACACACUUUCUGUUUCAACUCUCAACAUGCUUCAAUUUUAUUUAUUUUUGUUUCAAGCAGUCGAUGACAAUCAAGAUUCUUCUCAUAGUUUGUCCUUAUAAACCUCCAAAAACGACUCUGUUUCAACCGUUCCUCAUCGACCCAUUAACAUUUGAUUAAUUUUCCUGUCACUUGCUCCAUUAUUUCCUCAGGACGUGUUGACGUGGCCACCUUCUGCGACUUUCGACCCUUCAGAUUCACGUAUCAAAGGGAUGACCCAGUCAUUAUCUAUUAUGCAGGUGCAGGAAGAACACGUUUCGAGAGCUUUUAUAUCGUCUUGGACACUUCAACACGCUCGAACACACUUUGACACGUAUGUGACAUGCAGUCAAUUCUUCCUGACACGUGUGUCCGGAAUUUGUGAGAGGCAUGUUCUGGGGUAGGUCUGCAAAUGCGAAGUGAGAGAGAAUCGUUGAAGAACACAAUGGAGGGUGGAGGCGAGGGCAAGGCCGCGACGGCGAGAGAGGGCCAGAGGAAGAGUAGAGAAAGAGUAGAGACCGAGAAUGUCGCAAUGGAGGGCCAGAGGCGAGUCGGUGAGCGACUCCGAUGAGGCGAUUGAGAGGGAGCAGAGAUCAAGAGCAAGAGGAUCAUGCAAGGAAGAGGAGGAUCAUGCUAGGGUUUUUGGGUUUCCAUGCUACUUUAAUUUCCUCUUUUACUUUUAGGGAGGAGCAGAAAAAGAAAAUUGGAAUGCUAGGGAAGAAAUGAGAGGUGAAAUAAAUGGGUGAUUUUUUUCUUUAACUUUUCCUUCUGGGAGGAAGGGGAGGGCGGACGGUGAUUUCAUUCUGAAGAAAGGAAAUGACGGGGUGAGUGGGUGGGACGAGAGAAGAAACGAGAGGAUGAAAUAAAUGGGUGGGGCCCAUUUAUCCCAAAAAAACGCUGAAUGAUGAAUAGAAUCAUUAAUAAAUGGAUAGGGUUAAAAAAUAAAUAAAAUGAUGGGUUAAAAAGUGAUUUUGAAAAAUAAAAAAAAAAAACUGAAUGUUGAAUAAUGAUAAAUUUUAGUCAUUAUAGAAGAUUUUAGAUUUAUUAAAUAAGUUGACUAUAAUCUCUUGCUAGUUAUUAAUUUCAUUGAUAACUUUUGUUAAAGUCAAAAAAUAUAUUUCCAAUUUUUUAUGAAUAAAUUUAUUAAUGUUAUUAAUAUAGAUUCAUUCUAGGCUCUUUUUUUUAUAAUUUAUUUAUUUAUUUGCAAAUCUGAAUUAAAUUAAUUUAAUUGAAAUAAUCAUAAAAAUGAUAAUUUAUCAUGUAUAUAUAAAAAAAUAUAUGUAUUUAAUAUACAAUGUACCUUAACAUAUCGGAAUUUUUAAUGUUUUUUUUAUAAAUGACAUAUCGACGUGUCAUAUCAUGUUGCUUGUCGUAUGUCAAUGUUUAUCCUAUUGAGCUUGGAACUAUGAAUUUGAUCUCUGAAACUUAAUUUAAGCGUCAUCUUCACUCGGAAGUUGUCAAGAAAUUAAAGUCUCAUCACUUGGAAGUUGUAAAGAAAUAAAAGUCUUGACGCGGAACUUUGAAGGGCAAUUAUCAUUGCACGAAAGUGGCAAGAUUGACGUCUUUCAACUUUUGACUUUAUAGGCUGUAUCUUAUCAUAUUCAUGAAGUUGCAAAGACCUAUUUUGAGUUUGAUGCAACAAGACAAACAUAGGUUAGCCAUAUUUAUUGAAGUGCCUUGACAAGCCAAAAGUCCUAAUAACAAUUUGCGCAUGCCCUUUUGCAUACCUAUUAUCUCUAGAGCUGAAUCAUCUCUAAUCAGGGAAAACUUCAUUCAAAUAUCAUUCCGACCCAGUGGAUCGCAAAUACAAGGGCCGCCCGCAUUUGUGUUUAGUUUAGUUUGCAGGUGAAGGGCAUCGGCAUCUGUAAUUGAUAACUCGGCACGGAAAAUAGGACACUUACCUAUGGCAAGAUUCGUUUCCAUGUUCCUGUGAACCGAAGGUGACUGGGCAUGUGAAGCCGACGGGAAAGAGGACCCCCAGUGAAUCAUUGCAACUUAAACCAGACUACAUGCCACAUGCCGUAGAAACGACGUCACUAUUUUUUUUAUUUUUCAUAUUUUUUUUUUCUGUGUAUGUGAGAGAUCACCACGGGGAGAAUUCGAAGGUGGGAAGUUUGCAUGAAGGACCCGGCAACAUAAGGCCCCACACCCACCGGACAAAAGAUUUUCCAUGGCCUGAGUUAGUGCAUUCGGGGAAGGUGCUGAUGAAGACCGGCAACAGUGUCUUCAAAGUCAUCAAACGACGACACGCAAUUUCCCACCCCGAACGGGCACGUGCCAUCCUCCCAUUUGAAGCUGCUCGGAGGCUCACAUGUUCAUAUGAUGCAAGAACCUCUUUGUCCUAGGGUGAGUAUCAGUCCGAGGUCAACCCUGGACCGAUCUUAAAUCAGCCCAAUCAUGCUCGUCCUGGUCUAGUUCCUAAGGAGACUGGGUCAAUCAUUAAUCCUAGAAUUCCUGAACCAGUACCAUGCUAGUUGGUUCUCGAUCCUAAGAAUUCAGGAUCGGUCCAUAUAUUAUAUAUAUAAUAUAUUAUUUGUAAUUUUUUUUAUAUAAAGAAAACCUUAAAAUAAAGGACGUCAACAACAUUAAACGGUUAUUUAGUGAGGAGUUCAAAUAAUUUUACAUUAUUUUUUAAUAAGUUAGAUUUUUAAUAUUUUUUACGGCAUUAAUAGUCAUAAUUUUACGAAGGAAUAAAAUAUUUUUGUGAGGAGUUCUUACGGCAUUCAAAAUGGCAUAAAUAGCUUCUUAUGACGUCCUCCUCUAUUUUUCAUUCUCUUCUAUCUUAUUUUUCUUAUUAGUCUUCAAUUUACCAAAAUCAAAGGAAACAAAUUCUCCACUCAUCACUCAACACUCGCAUUGCUCGUUUUAGGUCACUUGUACCCCUCGCCACUCGAUGCUCACUUGGCUUGUUGCUCCUUGCUCAACACUCGAUGUUCAUUAUGUUCGACGCUCACUCCACUCAACCCUCACCGCUUACUUUUCUUAGCUGACCUUGCUCGUCAUUAAAUCCAUUGGGUCGUCCGAUCCUCGGCUACCCUUUCAAGGAGUACAAAAAAAUAAAAUAAAAAAUUAUUAAUUAGUUCCGGGUUGACCUGAGAACCAGACUAAAUCUAUUGGUCAAUCCGGUCCUCAAUCAUUUUUUUUAAGAAGUACAAAAAAUGAAAUAAAAAAUCAUCGAUUGGUCCCAAAUUGACCUUAGUACUGAACCGAACCCAUUAAGUCGGUCCGAUCAUCGGUCUUAAGCUCAAUAGAGUUAGUCCUCAGUCCCAAAAAUUAAAGACCAGUACUAUGCGGGUUAGUCCUAAGAUUAAGGGUGGACCGACUCAACUUGGACCAUAUUCACCCCUACUUUGUCCUCAUUUAUACCUCUUGGAUCUUGCUACUUCACUUUAUUAUCAUUUCUCUCUCCAUCUCCCUUGAGCCUUUCAUUCCUGAGAGAGAGAGAUCCAUCUCCCUUGAGCCUUUCAUUCCUGAGAGAGAGAGAGAGAGAGAGAGAGAGAGAGAGAGAGUCAUUCCAGAAUCAGUCAUAUUCCUCCUAAAGCUCGAGAGAUUAGAUUUCGCAAAGCCCACGGGAGCCGAGAGCAAUGGCUGAAGAGGUGCAUAUUAAGUUCCUCAUCCUUUCAAUUUAUCAAGACUCUUCUCUUGCUAACUGAUAGAAAGAUUACUGUAACCCAUGUAUGAUCAGCUCUUUUACAUUCUUGCAUAAAAAGAUAGAUUUUUCUCAUUCUUCUGGUGGCAGAAAGAGCCAUGCUUUCUCUUCUUGUGGCUUCGUUUUGUUUGCAGAGUUCAAAAGAUCUUUGCUUGUGUUGUUCACUCGCUUUCUCUGUGUUUGUGCGUAUGUGUGUGUGACUCCGGACCGUAGAAGGUGAUCGAGGAAGUUGUGCGCUAUCGAUGUUCCAAGGAGAAGGUGAUCAAGAAAGUGAACCGCAAAUCCCCUGGUGAGUCUCACUCUGCCUGUGUUAAUGGUUUUGCUUUCUUUUUUUUUUCUUUUUCUUUUUUUUUCCUUUUUUUAUUGCCACCGUAGACUUCAUAUGAGUCGUGAAUUCGGUGAGGCAAUCACAAUCGGCUAUAGAUAGAGCUUUCAUGCUAAAUGUUUUGUGAAGUCAUAGUGAACUAACGACAGUAUGUCUGGAUUUCUAAUCCCCGGCUGUCGUAUUUCAUAAACAGUGGAGAGGAUCAAGAAAGUCCCCGAGAAGAAAGACGGAGGAAGAGACAAGCGUAAAGGAGACGGCGAGAAGAGAGAAGGCAAGAAGCCGGAGGCAGAGAAGAAGAAGAAGAAGGAUGAGGAUAAACGAAAAAAGAGAGACGGAGGAAGAGACAAGCGUAAAGGAGACGGCGAGAAGAAGAAGGAUAGGGAUAAACAAAAAAGGAAAAACGGCGGGAGGACAUGGCUUAGCGUUGCAUGUACGUGUUUUACUUGCUAAAGGUUUUAUAUUUUAUCAGUUGUGCUUAGUUGGAGGAUCUGUCAAAUUUGGUGGAUAUUUGUAUUUGAUCAUAUGAGACAGUAAAGGAACAGUAAGGUUUGGUUUGGUAUUUUAAACAGAUUAAAUUACCAGUUACCAGUUGUUGAAGUUUUAAUCAAUGAGGACAGCUGAUUCAAAUCAAGUCCGUUUGCGUAAUGACUAUGAUAGUGCUGUUCAGAUAGAUCUAGGAACUUCAAAAAAAAGAAAAAAACAAUGGACAAAUCAGUUGGCAAACUGUUGAAUUAGUGACUUCUGUCAUGUAAAAGUGAGGCUGCAACAGAUCGACGAUGAAACUCAACAACUUUGUGAAGCUGAUGUCGCAGACCAUCCGACUCCUUGUUUCUAUAAUUUGCUGCUAGAUGCAGUGAUUCAGGCAGGGAGACGUGAGUUCCACAUUUUGGAUUUAGUUUUUGCCAAUGAUUUUCUAGAUAGGGGUGAAUGUCUCCUCAUGGUUGAAGCUAACGGAAAAAACUUCAGCAUUAUUAGUAAGUAAUGGCAGGGCGUAUUAGUGAUGCAAGACAAAGUAUGUAGGUACAAUCCUCCAAGCAGCCAAGCCCCCUAUAAUUUCGAGACAGAAUUAAAUCAGAUGUUGUCAAAGUUCCAGAGUGAUCGACGCCAAGAUUCUGGAACCUUUCUAAGAUUGUGGUAACAUCUUCCCAGCUGAUCUUUCCCAUUUCCUGUAGCUUGUACACAACAAACUCCACAACACUGCAAAAAGAAAAGCGCCAGCAAGAAACUCAGACCCUGAAAUUAGUUUAUUUGCAUAAUUGAAUUUGUAGUAGAUGAUGAAAAUUCACGUAAACAACUUUGUCAUCAUCAAGAUUAGCAGCCUCUAAAACUUAUCACGAAAUACAAUUGAGUCUUACAACUUGCAAAAAGUACAAUCGAGUCUUAAAACUUAUCAAAUUAUUUCAAUCGAGUCCUANNNNNNNNNNNNNNNNNNNNNNNNNNNNNNNNNNNNNNNNNNNNNNNNNNNNNNNNNNNNNNNNNNNNNNNNNNNNNNNNNNNNNNNNNNNNNNNNNNNNUAGCAUUUUUAAUGGAAAAUACUAACGUGGCACGAACGUAACAUUUAAAUAAUUUUCAUUUCCACAUAGCUUUUUUUUUAAUUAUUUUUUAUUCAAUUUUUUUUUAAAUAGAUUUAAAAACUAAAAAGAAAAGUUAAAAUUUAUUUUAAAAAUUGUUAUUAAAUAAAAUAAAAUAAAAUAAGCAGCUCCGCCCCCGCCAACGAAGGAAGUCGGCCCCUCCAGCGAUGGCAGCAGUGAAGGAAGUCGGCCAUUUCUUUUUUUUUUCUUUUUUUAAAUAUAUUUUAGCUUUUCUUUUUUAAUUUUAAAUCUAAUUUAAAUAAAAAAAUUAAUUUGAAAAAAAGCCACAUGAAAGUAAAAAAUUAUUUUAAACGUCACGUUCGCGCCACGUUAGCAUUUUCCAUUAAAAAUGCUGAAGAUGUUAAUUUUAGAACUCGAUUGAAAUAAUUUGAUAAGUUUUAGAACUUGUUUGCAUUUUUUACAAGUUUUAAAACUCAUUUUCGUAAGAAGUUUUAGGAUUUCUAUUGCACUUAUCCCUUUAUUUUGAGGGAAGAGAAGAAAAAGGAAAUGGGAAUGCUAGGGAAGAAAUAUGAGAGGUGAAAUAAAUGGGUGACUUUUUUCUUUUAUUUUUCCUUUUGGGAGGAAGGGGAGGGUGGAGGGUGAUUUCAAUUUCUAAGAAAGAAAAUGACAGGCGGUGGGUGGGGGCGGGGGAAGAAAUGAGUGGUGAAAUAAAUAGGUGAUUUUCUUUUUCUUUUUCUUUUCCUUUUGGGAGAGAGGAGAGGGUGGACAGGGAUUUCAAUUUUGACGAAAGGAAAUGACGGGGUGAGUGCGUGGGACGGGAGAAGAAACGAGAGGACGAAAUAAAUGGGUGGGGCCCAUUUAUCCCCCAAAAAACGCUGAAUGUUGAAUAGACUUAUUAAUAAAUGGAUAGGGCUAAAAAAUAAAUAAAUGGUGGGUUAAAAAGUGAUUUCAAAAAUAAAAAUAUUGAAUGUUAAAUAAUGAUAAAUUUGGAUCACUAUAGAAGAUUAUAGAUUUAUUUAAAUAAGGUGACUCUAAUCUUUGUUAGUCAUUAACUUCAUCGAUAACUUUUUUUUACNNNNNNNNNNNNNNNNNNNNNNNNNNNNNNNNNNNNNNNNNNNNNNNNNNNNNNNNNNNNNNNNNNNNNNNNNNNNNNNNNNNNNNNNNNNNNNNNNNNNNNNNNNNNNNNNNNNNNNNNNNNNNNNNNNNNNNNNNNACAAUUUAUUAUGUAUAUAUAAAAAAUAUAUUUAUUCAAUAUAUAACAUAUCUUAAUGUGCUUAAUGUGUUGGAAUUUUUUUUAUCAUUUAUAAAUAACAUGUCGGCGUGUUGUAUCAUGUUACAUAUCAUGUGUCAGUGUCUAUCCUAUUGAGCUCAUGACUAUGAAUCUGAUCUCUGAAACCUAAUUUAAGUGUCCUCAUCACUCGGAAGUUGUCAAGAAAUAAAAAUCUCGCCACUCAGAAGUUAUCAAGAAAUAAAAGUCUCAUCACUCGGAAGUUGUCAAGAAAUAAAAGUCUUGACGAGGAACUUUGAAGGGGAAUUAGCAUUGCAUGAAAGUGGCGAGAUAUCUUUAACUUUUGACUCAGGCUGUAUCAUAUUCAUGAAGCUACAAAGACCAAUUUUGAGUUCAAUGCAACAAGACAAACCUAAGUUAGUUGUACAUAUUGAAACACCUAACAAGCCGAAAGUCCUAAUAACAAUUUGCGCAUGCCCUUUUGCAUACCUAUCAUCUCUAGAGCUGUAUCAUCUCUAAUCGGAGAAAAAUCCAUUCAACUAUCGUUCCGACCCAGUGGAUCGCAAAUACAAGGGCUGCCCGCAUGUGUGUUUAGUUUAGUUUGCCGGACAUCUGUAGUUGAUAAUUCGGCACGGAAAAUAGGACAGUUACCUAUGGCACGAUUCGUCUCCAUGUUCCUGUGAAGCCGAAGGGAAUUUUCCAUGACCUGAAUUAGUGCAUUCGGGGAAGGUGCUGAUGAAGACCGGCAACGGUGUCUUCACAGUCAUCAAACGACAUUGCGAAAUUUCCCACCCCGAACCGGCACGCGGCGUCCUCCCAUUCGAAGCUGCCCGGAGUCUUACAUGUUCACAUGAACUUCUUUGUCCUCGUCUAUAUAAAACGUAACCCUCUUGGACGUUGCUACUUCACUUCACCAUCAUCUCUCUCUCCAUCUCCCUUGAGCUUUCAUUCCUUUCAGAGAGAGAGAGAGAGAGUCAGAGAGAGGGAAUCAUUCCACAAUCAGUCAUAUUCCUCCUAAAUCUUGAGAGGUCAGUUCUCGCAAAGCCCACCGGAGACGACAGCAAUGGCUGAAAAGGUGCAUGUUACAUUCCUCAUCCUUCCAAUUUAUCAAGACUCUUUCCUUCAAACUGAUAGAAUGAUUAUUGUAACCCACACGUGAUCAGCUCUUUUACAUUCUUGCAUAAAAGGAUAAAUUUUUCUCAUUCUUCUGGUGGCAGAAAGAGCCAUGCUUUCCUCGUCUUUUAGCUUCGUUUUGUUUGCAGAGUACGAAAGAUCUUUGCUAGUGCUGUUCACUCACUUUCUCUGUGUUUGUGCGUUUGCGCGUGUGACUCUGGAAUGUAGAAGGUAAAAAUGGAAAUCAAGGUUGACCUGGGGUGCUCUCGCUGCUACAAGAAGAUCAGGGAAGUGAUCGGCAAAUUGCCUG